RNAcentral lists this ribosomal RNA (253 nucleotides) under uncultured bacterium. Its description in RNAcentral is "partial 16S ribosomal RNA". It matches the Rfam family "Bacterial small subunit ribosomal RNA", at positions 524 to 776 of the family's 1533-position model. The record is from RNAcentral.
GACAGAGGGUGCAAGCGUUGUUCGGAAUUAUUGGGCGUAAAGCGCGCGUAGGCGGCGGCGUAAGUCAGAUGUGAAAGCCCAGGGCUCAACCGUGGAAGUGCAUCUGAUACUGCGUUGCUUGAGUGCCGGAGAGGGUGGUGGAAUUCCCAGUGUAGAGGUGAAAUUCGUAGAUAUUGGGAGGAACACCUGUGGCGAAGGCGGCCACCUGGACGGACACUGACGCUGAGGUGCGAAAGCGUGGGGAGCAAACAGG